RNAcentral lists this ribosomal RNA (492 nucleotides) under Streptococcus constellatus. RNAcentral describes it as "bacterial SSU rRNA". It matches the Rfam family "Bacterial small subunit ribosomal RNA", at positions 28 to 495 of the family's 1533-position model. Lineage: Bacteria; Bacillati; Bacillota; Bacilli; Lactobacillales; Streptococcaceae. The record is from RNAcentral.
GACGAACGCUGGCGGCGUGCCUAAUACAUGCAAGUAGAACGCACAGGAUGCACCGUAGUUUACUACACCGUAUUCUGUGAGUUGCGAACGGGUGAGUAACGCGUAGGUAACCUGCCUGGUAGCGGGGGAUAACUAUUGGAAACGAUAGCUAAUACCGCAUAAGAACAUUUACUGCAUGGUAGAUGUUUAAAAGGUGCAAGAGCAUCACUACCAGAUGGACCUGCGUUGUAUUAGCUAGUUGGUGAGGUAACGGCUCACCAAGGCAACGAUACAUAGCCGACCUGAGAGGGUGAUCGGCCACACUGGGACUGAGACACGGCCCAGACUCCUACGGGAGGCAGCAGUAGGGAAUCUUCGGCAAUGGGGGGAACCCUGACCGAGCAACGCCGCGUGAGUGAAGAAGGUUUUCGGAUCGUAAAGCUCUGUUGUUAAGGAAGAACGUGUGUGAGAGUGGAAAGUUCACACAGUGACGGUACUUAACCAGAAGUACGG